GAUGAACGCUGGCGGCGUGCUUAACACAUGCAAGUCGAACGGUGAAAGAGGAGCUUGCUCCUCUGGAUCAGUGGCGAACGGGUGAGUAACACGUGAGUAACCUGCCCCAGACUCUGGGAUAAGCGUUGGAAACGACGUCUAAUACCGGAUACGAGCUUCAGUCGCAUGACUAGGAGCUGGAAAGAAUUUCGGUCUGGGAUGGACUCGCGGCCUAUCAGGUAGUUGGUGAGGUAACGGCCCACCAAGCCUACGACGGGUAGCCGGCCUGAGAGGGUGACCGGCCACACUGGGACUGAGACACGGCCCAGACUCCUACGGGAGGCAGCAGUGGGGAAUAUUGCACAAUGGGCGCAAGCCUGAUGCAGCAACGCCGCGUGAGGGAUGACGGCCUUCGGGUUGUAAACCUCUUUUAGUAGGGAAGAAGCGAAAGUGACGGUACCUGCAGAAAAAGCACCGGCUAACUACGUGCCAGCCGCCGCGGUAACAC
RNAcentral lists this ribosomal RNA (487 nucleotides) under uncultured bacterium. RNAcentral describes it as "bacterial SSU rRNA". It matches the Rfam family "Bacterial small subunit ribosomal RNA", at positions 28 to 526 of the family's 1533-position model. The record is from RNAcentral.